AGAGUUUGAUCAUGGCUCAGGAUGAACGCUAGCGGCAGGCUUAAUACAUGCAAGUCGUGGGGCAGCACAGUGUAGCAAUACAUGGGUGGCGACCGGCAAACGGGUGCGGAACACGUACGCAACCUUCCUUUAACUGGAGAAUAGCCCGGGGAAACCCGGAUUAAUACUCCGUAACAUUGUGAAGUGGCAUCACUUUAUAAUUAUAGCUCCGGCGGUUGAAGAUGGGCGUGCGUCUGAUUAGGUAGUUGGCGGGGUAACGGCCCACCAAGCCUACGAUCAGUAACUGGUGUGAGAGCACGACCAGUCACACGGGCACUGAGACACGGGCCCGACUCCUACGGGAGGCAGCAGUAAGGAAUAUUGGUCAAUGGACGCAAGUCUGAACCAGCCAUGCCGCGUGGAGGAUGAAGGUCCUCUGGAUUGUAAACUUCUUUUAUUUGGGAAGAAACCCCCGAUUUCUAUUGGGGUUGACGGUACCAGAUGAAUAAGCACCGGCUAACUCCGUGCCAGCAGCCGCGGUAAUACGGAGGGUGCAAGCGUUAUCCGGAUUCACUGGGUUUAAAGGGUGCGUAGGCGGGUUGGUAAGUCCGUGGUGAAAUCUCCAAGCUUAACUUGGAAACUGCCGUGGAUACUAUCAAUCUUGAAUAUAGUGGAGGUGAGCGGAAUAUGUCAUGUAGCGGUGAAAUGCUUAGAUAUGACAUAGAACACCCAUUGCGAAGGCAGCUCGCUACACUAUUAUUGACGCUGAGGCACGAAAGCGUGGGGAUCAAACAGGAUUAGAUACCCUAGUAGUCC
This 795-nucleotide ribosomal RNA is filed under the name uncultured bacterium. RNAcentral's name for it is "bacterial SSU rRNA". It matches the Rfam family "Bacterial small subunit ribosomal RNA", at positions 8 to 796 of the family's 1533-position model. The record is from RNAcentral.